RNAcentral lists this ribosomal RNA (382 nucleotides) under uncultured Stenotrophomonas sp. Its description in RNAcentral is "bacterial SSU rRNA". It matches the Rfam family "Bacterial small subunit ribosomal RNA", at positions 1 to 369 of the family's 1533-position model. Lineage: Bacteria; Pseudomonadati; Pseudomonadota; Gammaproteobacteria; Lysobacterales; Lysobacteraceae. The record is from RNAcentral.
CGGCCGCGUCGACGUUUGAUCCUGGCUCAGAGUGAACGCUGGCGGUAGGCCUAACACAUGCAAGUCGAACGGCAGCACAGGAGAGCUUGCUCUCUGGGUGGCGAGUGGCGGACGGGUGAGGAAUACAUCGGAAUCUACUCUGUCGUGGGGAGUAACGUAGGGAACGUUACGUUAAUACGCAUACGACCUACGGUGAAGACAGGGGAGUCUUCGGUACCGUUCGUCGCGAUUGUAAUGAGCCGAUGUCGGAUUAUCUAGUUGGUCGGGGUAAAGGACCCGACCAAGGCGACGAUCCGUAGCUGGUCUGAGAGGAUGAUCAGCCACACUGGAACUGAGACACGGUCCAGACUCCUAUGGGAGGCAGCAGUGGGGAAGUAUUGGA